RNAcentral lists this transfer RNA (74 nucleotides) under Candidatus Thorarchaeota archaeon. Its description in RNAcentral is "tRNA-Trp". It matches the Rfam family "tRNA". From Rfam's summary of the family: Transfer RNA (tRNA) molecules are approximately 80 nucleotides in length. Their secondary structure includes four short double-helical elements and three loops (D, anti-codon, and T loops). Further hydrogen bonds mediate the characteristic L-shaped molecular structure. tRNAs have two regions of fundamental functional importance: the anti-codon, which is responsible for specific mRNA codon recognition, and the 3' end, to which the tRNAs corresponding amino acid is attached (by aminoacyl-tRNA synthetases). tRNAs cope with the degeneracy of the genetic code in two manners: having more than one tRNA (with a specific anti-codon) for a particular amino acid; and 'wobble' base-pairing, i.e. permitting non-standard base-pairing at the 3rd anti-codon position. The record is from RNAcentral. Lineage: Archaea; Promethearchaeati; Candidatus Thorarchaeota.
GGGGGCGUGGCCUAAUCCGGUAUGGCGUCGGGCUCCAGACUCGCAGGUUCCGAGUUCAAAUCUCGGCGCCCCCA